RNAcentral lists this unclassified non-coding RNA (1282 nucleotides) under Leishmania donovani. RNAcentral describes it as "gene:LdHU3.16.1840(CDS-product:hypothetical_prote in_conserved)". The record is from RNAcentral. Lineage: Eukaryota; Euglenozoa; Kinetoplastea; Trypanosomatida; Trypanosomatidae.
UCGCCUCGACCUCCUCCGCAUUACGGACAACCUCACUCGCGUGCUCGCACUGACACACGGACACGUCUCUGCUCUCUCGACCUGCACUGGCCCUUUCUUUGUACUCUCCUCGAUUCGCGUGCUACACCUUCCCCCUCGCUCACACGGAAGAGGCAUCGACGGACAUGAACACCGUUAGCUCCACAUCGACUGCAGCGGCGCAAAGUCCCUUCUGGGUAGCGUUUGAGAAUAUUGACACCGCCGUACCUCUUUCAAAGGAUGCCAAUGCGGUGGACGGCGUCGUGGUCGACUCGGAAACGGCAGCACACAUGAAAGAAGCCGAGACAUCACUGCUCCGCACUCUCCAGGAGGCGCACGCUGCACUUCACUCCUCGCAAACAAUCACGACCGCGCUUGCCACACAAGGCGAGACACUCACCUACCUGGAGGAGUGUGUGGCAGAGAACCACGAAGAAUGGCGUCAGGGGCGUCGAGAGAUGCGGCGCACGCGGCACUGGCAUACUGCCUUGGCGCACUGGCUACGGUGCGGGAAGGGCGGUUCACGGUCGCAGGUGGCGAACAAGUCGCCUGGCGCUCCACCGGCGGCGAGGCGUCUGUCAGGAACUGCACCGGUGACCGAUUUCAGCACUUGCCGUAGGCUGAAGCGUGAGUCGAGGACUCGUAGCGAGACCUCGGGAGGUAUUACGGCCACACAACCAGAGGCCGCGCACUUCUUUAAUGCUGACGCACUUGGCGACUGCAGCGCACCUGCCAAAAAGGGCAACAACGUGCAACGCGCCGCCGUUGCUGAGGAUAUGAGCACCGAUGUGAUGAAGAGUCCUGAAUCCACCACGCCGCCCGUGCACUGUGGCAGUCGCCAUCGGGCAGCUGCGGACAAGCAUCGCGUCAGCCGGUGCGUCGACGUUGCAAUGUGUGACCGGAUGGAGCCGACACUAGACGAGAUACGCGGCAUUGUGGGCGAGCUGCAUGACCGCGCUACGAUGUGGAACGCUAUGCUGACGUCCGACGUGGGCCGGAUGGACGAGCUCAUCAAGCGCACCGACAAGACACGCGCAAAGAACAAGAAGGUCAAUCUGCGCUGAAGCAGCGCUGUUUAGAACUAUGCGCCUUGUGUGCGUGCGCUGGCUUCAUCAUCUCUUGCUCAUCUGCGCGCAUUCUUCCUUGUUCACUUGCAUCACUGCUCAACGCAGCGAUCUCUCCUCGUUGCUCUUAAUUCUGCUCGUGUGCCACACGCUCCACCGACCCGAUUCUUCGGUGCGUGCGUGUGCGUGUGCUGUCGCUG